CAUUCAUCAAACCCCAUUAAAAGGAGGGCAGGCCAAGGCAUUAAAUUUUGGCAAGUAGAUACCAAUUUAAUGCUCUCUAUCAAAAAUCCUACUCUCCCACACACACAAAAAAAACAUUUAAAACCAACUCUUACACAUGACGCAACAUAUUCAUUAAAAAAAACAACCAAUUAUGUGCUAUGUUAAUUAAAUUCACAUAAACUUAUCUUAAUUUCUUCUUCUUCUUCAUUUAUAAAAUAAAAAUGAGCACUGUAAUAAUUUCAGAAUUCAGACCCAAAGCCUUUUUUAGAUUCACUUGAUUAUGUGGGAUUCACCUAAUCAAGUAAAUUUAAAUUAUUCAUUAAAUUAUAUGGAAAAAAAAUUGGUCUAAAUUGUGAGCUCGUAGUGUUUGUCAAUAUAAAAAUAAAUAUAAUGUAUUUUCAGCAGUGUAUACCGACAUAUAGUGAGGUUCACUACUCAUAUAUUCAUUUUAGAAAGUGCAUACUCACAUGGGGUGGGGUCUACAACUCAUUUGGUCAUUUUAGGCAUUGCAUUGUCAGUGCAUACUCGCAUAUGAUGGGCUCCACAACUCACAUGUUUAUUUUAGAUAGUGCAUUGGCGGUACAUACUCACAUGUGCGUUAACUCCACAACUUGCAGUGCAUAUUCACAUGUGAUAUGACUUAUAUUUUUGUGAAUUUCACCACAUGUGAAUAUGUAUUUUAAACAAAUACAGUGUUCUUUGUAAAACUCUUUAUAAAAUCUAUCAAUUUAACAAUCCCACGUUGGACUAAUUAAUUAGAAGUUCUCAUUUAUUGUUUUAG
This 802-nucleotide long non-coding RNA is filed under the name Actinidia chinensis (golden kiwifruit). RNAcentral describes it as "long non-coding RNA (ACHI_LNC001485)". The record is from RNAcentral. Lineage: Eukaryota; Viridiplantae; Streptophyta; Magnoliopsida; Ericales; Actinidiaceae.